RNAcentral lists this ribosomal RNA (253 nucleotides) under uncultured bacterium. RNAcentral's name for it is "partial 16S ribosomal RNA". It matches the Rfam family "Bacterial small subunit ribosomal RNA", at positions 524 to 776 of the family's 1533-position model. The record is from RNAcentral.
UACGUAGGGGGCAAGCGUUGUCCGGAAUCAUUGGGCGUAAAGAGCGUGUAGGCGGCCCGGUAAGUCUGCUGUGAAAGUCCAGGGCUCAACCCUGGGAUGCCGGUGGAUACUGUCGGGCUCGAGUCCGGAAGAGGCGAGUGGAAUUCCUGGUGUAGCGGUGAAAUGCGCAGAUAUCAGGAGGAACACCAAUGGCGAAGGCAGCUCGCUGGGACGUGACUGACGCUGAGACGCGAAAGCGUGGGGAGCAAACAGG